CUGUUAUCCCCACGGUAACUUGUUUGAAAUCCUAUGUUAGGGUUAGGAGAUAUUCAGUAUAGGAAAAGAAUUGGUUUUGUACCACCCCAGUCAAAAAGUUAUUUUAAGUUCGAUGGGGUCUUGUCGUCUUCUCUUAAUAUUUAAGCCUUUUUACUUAAAUGUAAGUUUAAGGGAUUCAUAAUAAUAAAGAAUUCAACUCGUUAAUCCUUUCAUUCUAGCCUUUAAUUGAAAGGCAAGUUAUUAUGCUACCUUAGCACAUAAUAUUGCGGCUAUUUAAAAUUCAUUGAGCAGGAGGUACUAAUUA
RNAcentral lists this ribosomal RNA (304 nucleotides) under Stasimopus sp. 59BSTAS02. RNAcentral's name for it is "partial large subunit ribosomal RNA". The record is from RNAcentral. Lineage: Eukaryota; Metazoa; Arthropoda; Arachnida; Araneae; Ctenizidae.